This 373-nucleotide ribosomal RNA is filed under the name uncultured Bacteroidota bacterium. RNAcentral's name for it is "bacterial SSU rRNA". It matches the Rfam family "Bacterial small subunit ribosomal RNA", at positions 521 to 896 of the family's 1533-position model. The record is from RNAcentral. Lineage: Bacteria; Pseudomonadati; Bacteroidota.
UAAUACGGAGGGUGCAAGCGUUAUCCGGAAUCAUUGGGUUUAAAGGGUCCGCAGGCGGAUGUAUCAGUCAGUGGUGAAAUCCUACAGCUUAACUGUAGAACUGCCAUUGAUACUGUACAUCUUGAAUUCGGUCGAAGUGGGCGGAAUGUGUCAUGUAGCGGUGAAAUGCAUAGAUAUGACACAGAACACCGAUAGCGAAGGCAGCUCACUAGGCCUGAAUUGACGCUCAGGGACGAAAGCGUGGGGAGCGAACAGGAUUAGAUACCCUGGUAGUCCACGCCGUAAACGAUCAUUACUCGAUAUUAGCGAUAUACAGUUAGUGUCUAAGCGAAAGUGAUAAGUAAUGCACCUGGGGAGUACGAUCGCAAGGUUG